This 495-nucleotide ribosomal RNA is filed under the name uncultured bacterium. RNAcentral describes it as "partial 16S ribosomal RNA". It matches the Rfam family "Bacterial small subunit ribosomal RNA", at positions 30 to 507 of the family's 1533-position model. The record is from RNAcentral.
UGACCGCUGGCGGCGUGCCUACUACAUGCAAGUCGCGCGAACAGACGAGGAGCUUGCUCCUCUGACGUUAGCGGCGGACGGGUGAGUAACACGUGGAUAACCUACCUAUAAGACUGGGAUAACUUCGGGAAACCGGAGCUAAUACCGGAUAAUAUAUUGAACCGCAUGGUUCAAUAGUGAAAGACGGUUUUGCUGUCACUUAUAGAUGGAUCCGCGCCGCAUUAGCUAGUUGGUAAGGUAACGGCUUACCAAGGCAACGAUGCGUAGCCGACCUGAGAGGGUGAUCGGCCACACUGGAACUGAGACACGGUCCAGACUCCUACGGGAGGCAGCAGUAGGGAAUCUUCCGCAAUGGGCGAAAGCCUGACGGAGCAACGCCGCGUGAGUGAUGAAGGUCUUCGGAUCGUAAAACUCUGUUAUUAGGGAAGAACAAAUGUGUAAGUAACUAUGCACGUCUUGACGGUACCUAAUCAGAAAGCCGCGGCUAACUACGUG